Egretta garzetta (little egret) is the source of this 2049-nucleotide RNA transcript. It is a transcript of the gene named phosphopantothenoylcysteine decarboxylase, with no coding region annotated. NCBI's taxonomy places the organism in Eukaryota, Metazoa, Chordata, Aves, Pelecaniformes, Ardeidae. The transcript is spliced from 8 exons. The record is from RefSeq and is a predicted model, not a curated record.
CCGUGGCCCGGCCCCUGCUGUCGCCCGGGCUUGAGCUCAGGGGCUUAUCGCUCUCUUGAUCGUGCUCCGUCGUGCCCCGACCGCUGAUGGGUGCAAGGGGGUUAGAGAGGACAUUUGUGCUAGUGCCCAUUGGUGGUGGAGCCCAGCAUGUGACCCCUGCACUGGCGUGAUCAGCAUUGCCCAGCAAAGGGUCCGAAGUUAACCCCACUGCCGGAUCAACCUGAGGAGUGACCAAAGGGGUGAAUUCCUCUGAAUCCAGACACCUCACUCCAGCAUCCAAGCUGCUCCUGAUGGUAAGGGCAGGAGUUUGCUUGGAGCAUGGAGACCUUCUCACCACCAGAACCAGAGUUCCCUGCAGAAAAGAGCUCAUCUGUGCCGCAGAAAAAAUCUCAUAUCCUGGUGGGUGUAACUGGAAGUGUCGCUGCCUUGAAGUUGCCUCUCCUCAUUGCCGAACUGCUGAAAAUCCCUGGGGAGAUCAUCGAGAGAGGCAGGGGCAGAAGGAGACAGAGAGAGGUGCACAACACAGUCCAUUCGACCAAGAAAUCAUACUCUGUCCUCCAAAGCCACUCUUUCUUGUGAAGCCUUGUGCAGCAGAGCUUGAAGUGAAGGUGGUCACUACUGAGAGAGCAAAGCAUUUCUACAAUGCCCAGGAGAUUCCUGUCACCCUCUACAGCGAUGAAGAUGAAUGGCAGCUGUGGAAAGGCCGUUCAGACCCAGUCCUGCACAUCGAGCUCAGACGGUGGGCUGACCUCAUGUUGGUGGCACCUCUUGAUGCAAACACGCUGGCAAAGCUUGCCAAUGGCAUCUGUGACAACCUGCUGACUUGUGUCAUCCGUGCUUGGGAUCUGAGCAAACCUCUGCUCUUCUGCCCAGCUAUGAACACAGCCAUGUGGGAGCAUCCCAUCACGGCUCAGCAGGUGGAGCAGCUGAAAGGCUUUGGCUACACAGAGAUCCCCUGUGUAGUGAAGAAACUAGUGUGUGGAGAUGAAGGUCAGUCCUUUUGUGCAUCUUCUGACUGGUUUCCUGCAUGAGUGCUGCUCUUAUCCUGAAGGGAUGUACGUUCUUCUGCCGCUUGGCCUUCAAGGUGUUGGUGCUUGCUGUCAGGGUUUACGCAAACUGAAGCUUUGCCCCGUGCUAGCUGGUAGGCGCAGCGCUUCUAGAGAAUAUUUUUUUGGAGCUGAAGACUGAGAAAUAUUUACAGUUAGGUAAGUGUAGUCAAGUAACUCAGGCAUCAGUUGAAAUAUCACGGACAGUUAUGCUUCCGCUGGGAUUUUAGACCUGAUUACAUCAAAUUUCUUACGUACUUGUAAUAACGUUAAGGGAAAACGCCCAAAAGAGAUCAUUCAGCGCAGACAUUUUGGCAGAAGCGGAAAGGCCAUCUGGCAUAGCUUCUUUGUCCUUUAUUUUUUCCUUUCAUCUUUUUUAGUACUUCUAUAGGAUCUCCGUUCCUGCAGUAAGCGGCUGAGUGCCUCCCCAUGGGUAAUGUGCACCUGAGGCAGAGCUGUGGUGUUGUCAUCCCCGUUCCGCGGAUGGGGAUCUGUGAUGCAGAAGGGCCACAUGUAUUGACUCAUCAGCACAAAGGGAUUAGAGCUGGAUGGUGAACACAAUUUCCAUCUUCUGCUGCUCUGCCCUGCCCGUUUCCUGGGGGAUGCCACCCUUGCGACAGGGAUGUGCGAGCCACAUGAGAAGCAGCGUGUGAAUUGCUGUGGUUUGUAGCUCAGAAUGGCAAAGUCAGCCAGCGUUGAUCGGGAGUUACCUCAUUCCACCAGCAGUUGUUUGGGAGCUGCUUCAUAUUCAGUUCAGCCAUCUCUGCUGUGAGAACAAACUCCUGAGGGAGCUUCAUGGACAGCUGGGGCAGUAGUAGCCACAUCUGACUUGACUCUGCUUGUGCCUGUGAGUCAGUUCACAACACGAUUUUCCUGUUGGCAAACGCCAGGAUGUUCCUGGCAGUACGUAGGAAAAUUAUGGCAAAGCAGUUGUCGUGGUUUAACCCCAGCCGGCAAUGAAGCAAGCACCAACCAGCUGCUCGCUCACUCCCCUCCAGCAGGA